RNAcentral lists this transfer RNA (71 nucleotides) under Camelus dromedarius (Arabian camel). It matches the Rfam family "tRNA". Rfam says of the family: Transfer RNA (tRNA) molecules are approximately 80 nucleotides in length. Their secondary structure includes four short double-helical elements and three loops (D, anti-codon, and T loops). Further hydrogen bonds mediate the characteristic L-shaped molecular structure. tRNAs have two regions of fundamental functional importance: the anti-codon, which is responsible for specific mRNA codon recognition, and the 3' end, to which the tRNAs corresponding amino acid is attached (by aminoacyl-tRNA synthetases). tRNAs cope with the degeneracy of the genetic code in two manners: having more than one tRNA (with a specific anti-codon) for a particular amino acid; and 'wobble' base-pairing, i.e. permitting non-standard base-pairing at the 3rd anti-codon position. RNAcentral also lists the same sequence under 1 other name. The record is from Rfam by way of RNAcentral. Lineage: Eukaryota; Metazoa; Chordata; Mammalia; Artiodactyla; Camelidae.
GAGGUUAUAGCUCAGUGGUAGAAUAUGUGCUUAGCAUGUACAGGGUCCUAGGUUCAAUCCCUAGUACCUCU